Molecule: transfer RNA, 95 nt
Filed under: Streptomyces tuirus
Lineage: Bacteria; Bacillati; Actinomycetota; Actinomycetes; Kitasatosporales; Streptomycetaceae
Description: tRNA-Ala
Source: RNAcentral
GCCGGCGGUGGAACGUGCGGCGCAGGGUCUCGGCGGUGGCGAAGCCGCAGCGCCGGGCGAUGGCCUCCACCGGUUCGUCCCCGUCCGUCAGCGCC